UUUCCGUAGGUGAACCUGCGGAGGGAUCAUUACAGAGUUCAUGCCCUACCGGGUAGAUCUCCCACCCUAUGUUAUUAUUACUUUGUUGCUUUGGCGGGCCGUUAGGCCCCGGCCCGACUACCGGCCCCGGCUGGUAAGCGCCCGCCAGAGGACCCAAAACCCUGAAUAUUAGUGUCGUCUGAGUACUAUAUAAUAGUUAAAACUUUCAACAACGGAUCUCUUGGUUCUG
RNAcentral lists this unclassified non-coding RNA (229 nucleotides) under plant metagenome. RNAcentral describes it as "partial contains small subunit ribosomal RNA, internal transcribed spacer 1, and 5.8S ribosomal RNA". The record is from RNAcentral.